Molecule: non-coding RNA, 77 nt
Organism: Cordylochernes scorpioides
Lineage: Eukaryota; Metazoa; Arthropoda; Arachnida; Pseudoscorpiones; Chernetidae
Source: the annotation of a GenBank genome assembly
UCCAGGGUAGUCUAGUGGAUAUGGCAUCUGCCCGGUAAGCGGAACAAACAUUGUGGGUUCGAUUCCCAUCCCUGAAC